CGCAGUGAGAGGUAAAGGCUCUAAAGGAGACGUACUGUAGGGGAGCAUGAGAGAUGUCUGUUCAUGCUCCAGCCAUCACACAGCAGAAUAGAGGAAAGGACAAAGAAGAAAGAGCAAAGGAUGACAAUAGCUGUCUCUCAAGGAGGCUUCCUGGAAGCUUCCAUAUGACAUUCUGCCUUCAUCUGGUGUCCUGAACCUAGCAGACACACUGAGGACCUAAGCCUGGGAGGCAGCCUCUCAGCUCUGAG
Long non-coding RNA from Globicephala melas (long-finned pilot whale), 248 nucleotides. RefSeq lists it as uncharacterized. The record is from RefSeq and is a predicted model, not a curated record. Lineage: Eukaryota; Metazoa; Chordata; Mammalia; Artiodactyla; Delphinidae.